RNAcentral lists this long non-coding RNA (14141 nucleotides) under Malus domestica (apple). Its description in RNAcentral is "long non-coding RNA (MDOM_LNC020633)". The record is from RNAcentral. Lineage: Eukaryota; Viridiplantae; Streptophyta; Magnoliopsida; Rosales; Rosaceae.
CUAUCCUAAAUGUUGAAAUUUUUGAUGUUUGGGGUAUUGAUUUUAUGGGUCCUUUUCCUUCUUCGUAUGGUUUUACAUAUAUUUUGCUUGCAGUUGAUUAUGUGUCGAAGUGGGUGGAAGCAAAGGCCACCCGAACUAAUGAUUCUAAAGUGGUUGCAGAUUUUAUUAGAACUAACAUUUUUGCAAGGUUCGGAAUGCCACGAGUGAUCAUUAGUGACGGAGGGUCACACUUUUGCAAUCGGACUAUUGAAGCGUUAUUGAGGAAAUACAGUGUCACCCAUAAGGUUUCUACACCUUACCAUCCUCAAACUAAUGGGCAAGCCGAGGUUUCUAACCGUGAGAUCAAGCAAAUCCUAGAGAAGACCGUUGGGCCAACAAGGAAGGAUUGGAGCUUACGGUUAGAUGAUGCACUUUGGGCGUAUCGUACGGCGUACAAAACCCCCAUUGGGAUGUCCCCCUUCCGACUUGUCUAUGGCAAGGCGUGCCAUCUUCCUGUUGAAUUGGAGCACAAAGCACUUUGGGCCAUUAAGAAGUUUAACAUGAACCUCGAGGAAGCAGGAAGUCAAAGGAGAUUGCAAUUGAAUGAGCUUGAUGAGAUACGGCUUGAGGCGUACGAUAAUGCAAGCAUUUACAAGCAAAAGACCAAAGCUUUCCAUGACAACAUGAUCCGUGGGAAAUCAUUCUCAAUUGGGCAGAAAGUGCUAUUGUUCAAUUCCCGUUUACGGUUGUUUCCCGGUAAGUUACGUUCUAAGUGGAUUGGACCGUUUGUUAUUACUAACAUAUCUUCUUAUGGUGCCAUCCAGAUUCAAAGUCUCAAAACAGGUCAUGAAUUCCAAGUGAACGGACACCGUUUGAAGCCAUAUUAUGAGAACUUUGUUGAACAAACUGUGGAGGAUAUUUCUUUGGGUGCCGUGGGCACAAAUGGAGAAUAAAAGGGCUUUUCGUCCGGCUGUACGACGUAAAAGAAAGCGCUACUUGGGAGGCAACCCAUGCAAUUCAACAAAGGAAGACCAAGGAAUUACUUCAAUUCCAGAUUUGCGUUCCUAAACCCUUCUCUUUGUUGUUUAUUUUGAAUCUGCCUAUUUAGUUGUUUUACUUGCUGUUUUAUGUUUCUUUUUGUUUAGUGUGGUUUUAUGCUUGAAACAUUGAGGACAAUGUUUGAUUUAAGUGUGGGGGGGUAACUAAGUGUUUUAGAUACAAAUUCGUGGGAUUUUAUCACCCUAAACUUGAAGACUUGUUCCUUGCUGUUUUUAAGUGUUUUUGAGCAGUUUUGAUGUGUUUUAGUGUGUUUUGAAGUAAAAAUCCGAAAAUUACAUAAAAAUUUGAAAAAUUUGUUUUAAAAACCCAAAAAGAGUUGUUUUUGUGUUUGUUUGUGUCUUAGGGUACCUUCCAACACAAUGAUGAGGAUUUGGUUUUUAAGUGCAUGACUGUUAAAGAAAGUGACUAACAUGGAUGAAAGUUUGAUUUACUCUUUGUUAUGUUUAGUUGUGGUUAUAACUUAUGAAUUCACAUGCAAUCAUAAAAGAAAAAAUCAGUUUUUGUAACAUGCUUGAAGGAAGGAACUCAAACUAACGCUACAACCUUGUGAGACUUGAGCCUAAACGCUUAUUUGGAGAGUUAAAAUCUGUGCAUUCUUUGUUUUCUAAGUCGUUGCAUGAUCUCAUUAUUCCUUGCUUGGUUGCUACUUAGAAGGCGUUUCAUCAUUUAGUUCCAAAUGCUAGAACUCAUGCCCAUUUCAUUCAAAGCAUGUUAUUGAUUUGCAUAACACAUAUUCAAGAUGAAGUUGUGUAGUGACCACCACCUUAGCCAAAAAGCCGUGUGCCCUAUGUCAUUGUGAUUUGUAGGUUUUAACCCCAUUGAGCCUUGUUAGCCUUCGUUAUUUGUUAACCCAUGUUUUCCUCACCUAGCCUAGUUUAGGACCAUCCAAACCCUUGUUCUUAAAGCAUAGUAAAGCAUGAUUCAAAUUGAAUUCCUUUUGAUUUAUGUUGGCAGAAAACUAGUGUGGGGGAAGUAUUUCUUUGUGAUUUUGUGUGCCAUAGGCACGUGUGGAAAGAGAAAAGAAAAUAAAAAAUUCGUGGAAAAAGAAAAAAUGAAGAAAAAAAAAAAAUAUGAAAAGUGUGAAAAAGAGUUGAAAAGUUGAGAAAAAGAGUUCCAAAGUAUUGUUUGUUGAAGUAAGGGUCCAAAACAAUGAAUUCGGCCCUAAGGAGUUGUUUAAAUCUUUCCCUUGUGUUUUAAAGUUAAUUUCUGCACUCUAAGUGAAUUCUAAGUCUCAAUUUCAUUGCUUUGCUUACUAUUGCUUGAAGAACGUUUGUUUUCCUUAUCCUUUCCUUGUUAACCAACACCCCAAGCCCCAUUACAACCCUUAACUUCUAUCUUGAGUGUUAUGUGUUUCAAUUUGUGGAGUUUGAAUUUGGUAUGAGCAUAUGGUGUCACUGGUUCUCGCAUCUAAGUAGUAGCAUUCCAUUCAUGAGAUCAUAUCUAAACAUGCUUCAUAACUCUAGAAAUUGCGUUCUUUGUGAUACAUUUAUGUGAGCAUUCGUUUUCAUUUCUACAUCAAUCUUCUCACAUAUGACUAGUGUAGGGUGUGGAGUUAGAAAAUCUGAGUAAAAAUAGAGUGUAUAUCUUGUAAGGAAUUGAGGGAAUUCUCUAAGGCAUGUUACUACAUUCAAAGCAUUGUUUUGAUUGAUUACUUGUGAAUUAGUAAGUGGUGGCUUUAAUUAAGUAUGUGCUUGUGUAAAGAUGACUCAAAUUUGUGGGGAUAACAAUCUUUAACAUGUCAUGUGCAUUGGAAAUCCCUGAGGCAAUUGUUGGAAGGUUUAGGUUUUGUUUUGGUUAGUUUGUUUCAUUUUGUUUUCUUUCUUUUGUUUGUUUUGCUCGAGGACUAGCAAAAGCUAAGUGUGGGGGAAUUUGAUAGGAGCAUAUUUAUGCGCCUUAGUUAGCUAGUUCUUAUGCAUCUUUGUUAUGUUUUCUUCGUUAAAGUAGUCUUUUAAGCUACUUUCUUGUGUUUUCAGGUUUUAGCGGACGUAUUACAUGAAAUGAUGCAGUUUGGAGCUUUUGGAGCAGAAAGUGAGCUUGAAGUAAAAAGGACAUGCUUGGAACGCAAGGUUGGGAUGAAAUUGAAGAGUUGAAGAUUUGAGGUUUCCUACUUGAAGUAGGAAAGCUAAGCCUAAAAGUUUCCAUUUUUGGGUUGAUCUUUCCUAAAUCGGAAUUGGCAACCAAAGUUUCUAAAGUUGGAAGUUUCUAUUCUUGGAGGUUUCCAUUUUCGUGAGUUUCUAUUCUCGGUUUUGGGCUUUUGGAUGACCCAUCCUUAACUCUUGGACCUAUGCCGUACCUAAACCCUAACCCUAGCCCAUUGUUUCAGCCGCACCUAGGCCUUGUUCACAUGCAAAAAUCUGAUUGGAAAUCCCUAAGCCUAUGCCGCACCUUUCCAUCCAAAAAGCCCUAUUUUACAAACCUUAACCCUAGCCCAUUGUUCUAAUCUGAAUUGCUAGGGUUUUUAAGUGCCUAUAUAUAUAUUUCUACACCCUAGCCGCACAUCUUCUUCCCUCUCCAUAAAAAUCAGAAAACUACAUCCCUUUCCCCACCUUGCCGCAGCCACCAUCAACCCAAAUCCCUUCCUUGCCGCAGCCAUUCAUCCAUUCCAGCCACCAUCCUCCACCUUUAGACACCAUUCCACACCUCCAUAACUCUUUCCCACACCUUGCCGCACCACCCUACCAUCCUAACUCCCUUCUAAAAAACCAAAAACACAUCCAGAAACUCCAUUCACGCCAGAACCUGUCCCUCACCUUUGCCGAGCCCAACCUACACCCAAAUCCAUAUUCUCUGACCCCAAACCUUCCUAGCCGUGCCCUACACCUAUCCUAGAUAGUUUUCCACCAUUCUCCCUCAUCCAAACCCAUCCAAAAACCCCCUAACCCUCACUGCCGCAGCAAGGAGAAGAAGAAAGAGGAGCUUUCUGUGCAGAUUUCAAAGUGGACUUCCUUGGCAUUUUAGGUGUAAUCUUUCUUAUGUCUUCGAUGUUUCAAUUCAAUAAACUUUGUGUUGUGAGUAUGAGGAACUAAACCCCCUUAGUUGGGGGGUGAUUCGAAACCAUGUACAUGCUUGCAAUUUGAUUCGAUUACAUUCAGUUGUUAUUUCAUAAGUUGUGGAUUCAAUUCGUUCAUCUAUUUGAUUGAUAACUUAUUUGUGUAUGUUGAUUGAGAGUGCACGCUUAGUUUUCAUGCAUGAAUAUGAUGCUAGAUUAUGAGGGAGUUUCACCUAAUAGUUACAAUCUUAUAAUCACAAGUAGUGAAGAUCGCUUGAAACGAUCGCGUUGAAUGAAUUCUUAGCAUAAGUUUCAUGCAAUUCAUAGUAACAAAUGCUUCGUCAAUGCUUAUGUUUUUCAUAGAACGUAAUGAUUCUUGCUUGUAUCUCUAUUAUGCAAUUCAUGUAGGGAACUUGUAGGGAAUGUUUUGAGUUGUCGUAUGCAAUCAUCCAACUUGAUAAAUUCUGGAAAAACUGAGGGUUAAUUAGUGCAAUUCACGGUUAACUUGGGGCGUUGAGUAUUCAUAGGUUAUCGGAAGAACAACUGAAAAUCGUUUUGUUUGCAAGUGUGACAUGUGUGGAGAAGAACCUCCUAACUAGCCUUUUAUCCAUCUAUUUCACCAAAAUCGUUUUUACAAUCUGUUUAGUUUCAAGUUUCUGUUUUAUGUUAAAUUUUCGUCCAAAACAAAUCCCCUUUUAAUUUGAAGUCUUAGAUUAGUUAGAAAGUGUUUUGAUUUGUGUUUCUAAGUAUUUCGAUUCAAGCUUUCAUCAAAUUUCGUCCAAAUUAGUGUAGGUCCCCAAAACUGCCCAGAAAGUGGUUUUUAGGCAGUUUUGAGCCUUCUAGUUGCUGUUUUAAGUUUUAGGUUUGUUUAAGUGUUUUAACUUUUAGUUUUGCAUUCUUUGAGUCUAGUUUAGUGUUUUUAACUGUGUUUUUGAGUGUUUAAGUCAGUUUCCAAGCGUUUAGCAAUCCCUCCUAAUCCCCGGUCUAGAACGAUCCCUACUUACAUCUUCGCUACAAUUUGACAAAAAGAGGGUUUAAUUUGUGUGCUUAAUAUAUUUCGCAUCAAAACACAUGAAACUAGCUUAAAAGACUAAUUUAACUAAGAAAACACAACGUAAAUGCACAAGAACAAGAUCACUAAGUCGCAUAAAUAUGCUCCUAUCACUUGUGGCGUGUGUUCAAUGCAAGGACAUCUCACGGAUAAGUGCCCUCAAUUGAUAGAGAAUGGAGGGUGGGAAUCUGCCAAUGCUGUGGGUUUAGGGAGUCAAAACCAACCAAGGAGUGAUCCUUUUUCUAACACAUACAAUCCCAGUUGGAAAGAUCAUCCAAAUUUCAAAUGGAGGGAGCCCCAACAAACCCAACAACAAAAUGCAUUUAGGCAGCAACCUCCUGGAUUCUACCAAAGGUCGUAUGCACCCACACAACCCCAAGCACAACCUGCCCAAUCGAAAUCAGGUUCGUCCAUAGAUAAUGAUCAAAAUUUUCAAUUACUAACUUCUAUGGCGCAGGGAAUGCAAAAUAGGGACAAAAAGGUUGAUGAAUUAGAAAAGCAAGGAGGGCAGAUUGCGGAGUUCAUGGGUGAUGCGAAAUAUAUUAAGCACACAAAUUAAACCCUCUUUUGACAAAUGUAGUAAAGUAUGUAAGUAGGGAUCGUUCUAGACCGGGGAUUAGGAGGGAUUGCUAAACACUUGGAAACUGACUUAAAAACUCAAAAACAAAGUUUAAAACACUAAACUAGACUCAAAGAAUGCAAAACUAAAGGUUAAAACACUUAAACAAACCUAAAACUCAAAACAGCAACCUAAUGACUCAAAACUGACUAAAAACCACUUUCUGGGCAGUUUUGAGAACCUAACAAGAACUUGGACGAAUUUGGGUGAAAACUUGAAUCAAAACACUUAGAAACACAAAUCAAAACACCUUCUAACUAAUCUAAGACUUCAAAAUAAAGGGGGAUUUGUUUUGGACGAAAAUUGAAAACAAAACAGAAACUUUGAAACAAAACAGAUUGUAAAACGUUUUUGGAUGAAAAGGAUGGAUAAAAGGCUAGUUAGGAGGUUCUUCUCCACACAUGUCACACUUGCAAACAAAACGAUUUUCAGUUGUUCUUCCAAUAAAUUAUGAAUACUCAACGCCCCAAAUUAACCGUGAAUUGCACUAAUUAACCCUCAGUUUUUCCACAAGUUAUUGAGUUGGAUGAUUGCAUACGACAACCCAAAACAUUCCCUACAAGUUCCCUACAUGAAUUGCAUAAUAGAGAUACAAGCAAGAAUCAUUAAGUUCUAUGAAAAACAUAAGCAUUGACGAGGCAUUCGUUACUAUGAAUUGCAUGAAACUUAUGCCAAGAAUUCAUUCAACGCGAUCGUUUUCAAGCGACCUUCACUACUUGUGAUUAUAAGAUUGUAACUAUUAGGUGAAACUCCCUCAUAAUCUAGCACCAUAUUCAUGCAUGAAAACUAAGCGUGCACUCUCAAUCAACAUACACAAAUAAGUUAUCAAUCAAGUAGAUGAACGAAUUGAAUCCACAACUUAUGAAAUAACAACUGAAUGUAAUCAAAUCAUAUUGCAAGCAUGCACAUGGUUUCGAAUCACCCCCCAACUAAGGGGGUUUAGUUCCUCAUACUCACAACACAAAGUUUAUUGAAUUGAAACAUUGAAAACAUAAGAAAGAUUACACCUAAAAGUUCCAGCAAUCUGCAAUAGACUAGCAAGCACAUUCAAGAGCACUCCUUCUUCCUUCUUGCUGCGGCAUAAGGUAUGGAGAUGGUUUGGGAUGGUUUUGGAUGAGGUAGAAUGGUAGAAAAGUGUCUAAGAUGGGUGUAUGGCACGGCUAGGGAGGUUUGGGGUCAGAAAAUAUGGAUUUGGGUGAAGAUUGGGCACGGCAAAGGUAAGGGAAAGGUUUCUGGCGUGAAUGGAUGUGAAUGGGUGUGUGUGGAAUGAUUUGUGGCUGCAACAAGGAGGUUUAUUUAAAGGAAAACAGAAAUUAAAACCCUAGGUUGAUUAGGAAAUCAGAAAUUAAGUCUAAGGAUUCUAGAAUUAGGAAAUAAAUCAGAAAAUUAAAGGAAAGAGCAAGGGAAAUUCGGCUAGGGUUUAAAACACAAAAGGAAGGUGUUUUAAAGCAUAAAAACAGGAAAUAAGGAAGAGGAAAUGCAAAGGGGGGUGCGGCAAGGGUUCAAAAGGGUUCUAGGCUUUUGUUUUGUGUCCUAGAAUGCUUAGAAAGUCUUCAUAAUUGCUGGAACUUUUAGGGACAAUUAGGAAAAAUCAAACCAAAGUAGGAAACCUUGGCUUAACUUUCCUACUUCAAGUAGGAAUCCUUGUUCUAGGAAUCCUCAUGUGAUUAGGAAUCCAUCUUCAAUUAGGAAUCCUCAUGUGAUUAGGAAUCCAUCUUCAAUUAGGAAUCCUUCGUCGAUUAGGAAUCCUCCUUCAUGUAAGCACUUUCCUACUUCAACUAGGAAACCUUGUUCAAGUAGGAAUCAUCAUCUUCAAGUCUUCAAAUUCGUCCAAACCUUGGCUCCAAUUAUGUGAUAAUCAUUCCAAGCCCAAUUUUGCUCCAAAAAGCUCCAAAAUGCAUCUUCUUGCAUCCUUUGGCCUUAAAACCUGAAAACACAUAAAACUAGCUUAAAAGACUACUUUAACUAAGAAAACACCAUGGAAAUGCAUAAGAACUAGCUAACUAAGGCGCAUAAAUAUGCUCCUAUCAAUGGGCCAAUUCAGAGAGCAAGGCAAGUUGCCUAGUUUAACCAUUGUCAACCCAAAAGGAGGAUUUGAAUCUGCCAAAGCAAUCAUGUUGCGAAGUGGAAAACAAGUUGGAACAGCCUUACAACCAUCUAAAUUAGUCCCAACUGAGAACAAAAAGUUGCAAUUUGAGGAGGUGGAACAAGAGCAAGCCACGGCAAGGGUAGCACCACCCAUGCUGCAGCCACCCAAACACUCCCAGUCGUCUUCCAAAGGUAAAGAGGUUCCAAAUUCAAUUAUUUCUAAUAUUAUUCCCCCAAAUGUACCCUUUCCUCGCAAAUUCAUGCAAUCAAAGAAGGAGGAGGCUAAAAAGGACAUUCUGGAGACAGUUAAAAAAGUAAAAGUCAAUAUACCACUUUUGGAUGCAAUUAAGCAAGUUCCAAGGUAUGCCAAGUUUUUAAAAGAACUUUGCACCACUGGGAAGAGAAUUUCGAACAAGGAGGUUGUCAAGGUAAGUGAAAAUGUCUCAGCCAUCUUACAACGUAAAAUGCCCCCUAAAUGCAAAGAUCCGGGUAGUUUUACAAUUCCUUGUGUUAUUGAUGCAAAAUAUAUAAGCACACAAAUUAAACCCUCUUUUUAUCAAUUGUAGCAAAGUAUGUAAGUAGGGAUCGUUCUAGGCCGGGGAUUAGGAGGGAUUGCUAAAUCACUUGAAAACUGACUCAAAACGUAAAAACAAAGUUUAAAACACUAAACUAGACUCAAAGAAUGCAAAACUAAACUAUAAAACACCAAAACAAAGCAAAAGACUCAAAACAGCAAAUAAACGCUCAAAACUGCCUUAAAAACACCUUCUGGGCAGUUUUGAACACAAACACAAAAUUGGACGAAAAUAGGUUUAAACUUGACUCAAGACACUUAAAAACACAAACUAAAUUGAUUUCUAACUAAUCUAACACUUCAAAAUAAAUGGGGAUUUGGUUUUGACGAAAAUUGAAAACAAAAACAAAAGUUGUAAAUUGAACAGAUUCUAAAACGUAUUUGAUUAAAUUUAAUGGAUGAAAAGCUAGCUAAGGGGUUCUUCUCCACACAUGUCACUGAUAGGAGCAUAUUUAUGCGCCUUAGUUAGCUAGUUCUUAUGCAUUUAUGUUGUGUUUUCUUAGUUAAGUUAGUCUUUAAGCUAUUUUCAUGUGUUUUCAGGUUUUAAGGACAAAGUAAGCAAAAAGAUGCAAUUUGGAGCAAAAUUGAGCUAGAAUGGAGCUCAUGCAUGUGGAGCACAAAGAAUGGACGAAUUUGAAGGAUUGAAGAGGCUGGGAAUGUGUUUCAAAGUUGAAGAAUUGAAGAUGCAAAGUUUCCUAAUUGAAGUAGGAAAGUGCCUAAUUGAAGAUGAAAUCCUAGUCAACAAUGGAUUCCUAGUUGAAGAAUGAUUCCUAGUUGAAGUUGGAUUUCUAGAAGAUUAAAGAUUCCUACUCAAACAAGGUUUCCUACUUGAAGAGGGAAAGUUAAAAGUUAAAAGCCAAAGAAUCAGCUCAAGUGAAGAAACCUUAUCCAAAACAUUAUCCAUAACCUUAUCCUAUCCUAUCUUAUCCUAAUCCUAAUCUUCCUAUAUUUCAGCUACAAAAGGGAUUUCUUUUCCUAUUUGGAGACUUAAAACCUGAUUUCUAGAAGCCUUAUCCCUUCCUACAAAGGUGCCACACCUUAUCCCUUGUUUUUCUAGAAAUCAGCCACAAAACAACCUUUCUAGAAGGCCUUAUCCCUUGUCCUACAAAAGUGACGCCCCAAACCUUUCUAGAACUUCUAGAAACCUGAUUAUUCCUUUCCCCCUUGGUUUCUAAAAGCCUUAGCCUUUUCCUUCAAGGAUUGUGUGUUAUUAUCCUAUACAAAUUGGGCCUUUCAAUCCUUUUCCUUUGCUACAUAGGGGCUGCGAAUUUCAGCCUAUAAAUACCAUCCUUUGCUGCACCAUUUAGUCACCACCCUCUACCAUAUUUUCACUACAUCAUUCACCCAAACAUCCCUCUUGUGCCGUGAGUUUGCAAAGGAGAAGGAAGGAGACUCUUGGAGCCGUGCAUGCCAUUCAAGGAGCUUGGAUUGUUGGAGCGUUUCUAGGUGUUUUCUAUCUUUAUGUCAAUGUUUAAAUUUAUUUAUCUUUGUUUAUUUGCGAACAUGAGGAACUAAUUUCUUUAUAGUUAGAGGGGAAUUCAAAGCCAUGAUCAUAUGUUUUAUAUGACUUGAUUUCCUCCAGUUAUGAUUUCAUAAAUCGUGAAUGUGGUUUACUUAUCUAUUUGAUUGAUAACAUGUUUAUGUAUGUUGAUUGAGGGUCGACACUUAGUUUGCAUGCAUGAAUUUGAUGCUAGAGUAUAAGGGAAUUUCACCUAAUCGUUAUUAACUUAUAUUCAUAAGUAGUAAAAGUCGCUAGUCACGAUUGUGUUAAGUAAAUCCUUGGCAAGAGUAACAUGCGUAUUCCAUAGUUAUGAAUGCCUCGUCAAUGCUUAUGAUUUCCAUUGAAACUUAAUGAUCUUUGAUAUGUGUCUCUAUCAUGCGUAUGCCAUAGUUAGGGUCCUUGAUAAGAAUAAUUUGGUUGUAAUGCGUAUUCCAUUCAAUUCAAUGAAUCUAGGGAAAUCUGAGAAUUAAUUGGUGCAAUCUAGUUAAUUUGGGGCAUUGUCAUUCAUGGUUUGUUGAAAGAGUAACUGGAAAUCGAGUCGUAUGUAUAUGUUUCAUGUGUGGAGAAGGAACCCUCUAACUAGCCUUUCACCAUUCUAUUUCAUCAAUUUCGUGAGUCUUUAAGUUUGUUUACAAAGUUUAUGUUUUAAAAGUUCAAUUUCGUCAAAACCAAACCCCUUGCUUUUAAGUCUUGUUUUUAGAGUCAAAACUUGUUUUCUUGUUUUGAGUCAAGUGAAGUUCUAUUUUCGUCCAAAUCACUUAUUUGGUCUAGAAUUGAGUCUUUUUUUUUUAUUGUUUCUUGCUGUUUUGAGUUAGUUUUGAGUCUAUCGAGUCUAGUUUAGUGUUUUUGAGUCUUAUUUGUGUUGAUUAGCAUCCCUAGUUAAUCCCCGGUCUAGAACGAUCCCUACUUGCUUAAAUACUACAAUUGUCAUCAAUAGGGUUUAAUUUGUGUGUCAACUUAAUUUUCACAUCAGUCACACUUGCAUACAAAACGAUUUCCAUUGCUUCUCAAUAAACCAUGAAUUCCCAACACCCCAAGUUAAUUAGGUACGCUUAAAUUAACUUUCAGAUUUCCCUUUAAUCAUUGAAUUGAAUGGAAAGAGCGCUUCACAAUCAAAUUAUUCCUUAAAAGUUACCUACAUGAAAGCGCAUAAUAGAUAAACAAUCAAAGAUCAUUAAGUUCUAUGGAAAUCAUAAGCAUUGGCGAGGCACUUGUUACUAUGAAAGCGCAUGAAACUUAUGCCAAGAAUUUACUUAACACGAUUAUGAUCAACAACCUUUACUACUUGUGAAUAUAAGUUCAUAACGAUUAGGUGAAAAUCCCUUAUAUCCUAGCAUUAAACUUAUGCAUGAAAAUUAAGCGUGCACUCUCAACCAACACCACAUAUCAGUUUUAAUUCAUGUAGAUAAGCAAAUUGAAUUCACAACUUAUGAAACGCAAUUAGAAGUAAUCAAAUCAUUUCGCAAGCAUAAACAUGGUUUCGAAUCCCCCCUAGCCAAGGGGGGUUUAUGAUAGGAGCAUAUUUAUGUGCCUUAGUUAGCUAGUUCUUAUGCAUUUCCAUGGUGUUUUCUUAGUUAACGUAGUCUUUUAAGCUAGUUUUAUAUGUUUUCAGGUUUUAGAGACAAAGUAUGCAAGGAAGUGCAAAAUGGAGCAUGAUUGAGCACAAAUGGCGUUUUUACUUAUGGAGCACAAGGAAUGGACGAGUUGAAGGUCAAAGGGAACUUAAGAAAUGAAGAAAUGAAAGUGAAGAACAAAGAAUUCAGAAUUAGAACCCAAAGUUUCUAAAGUUGGAAGUUUCUAUUCUUGGAGGUUUCCAUUUGUGAGAGUUUCUAUUCUUGGCUUUGGGCUUCUAGAUGACCCAUCCUUACAUUCUUGGACAUUGCCGCACCAUAAGCCCAAUCCUUUUCAGAUUUGGACCCCUUGCCUUGCAAGGCUUUCUAAAAACUUUAUUUUUUGGUGGACUUUUAGCCCUUUGCCGCACCUAAACCCUAGCCCAUUGCUUAAACCUGAUUUCCCUAGGGUUUGUGGUGCCUAUAUAUAUGUGUUCUUAGCCUUGCCGCAGGGAUGACCCCCUCCACAAUUCAGAAAUUCGUCAAACACAUCCAUCACACUUUGCCGCAGCCUUCCUCCACCAAUCUGCCAUUUUUCCAUACUUUGCCGCAACCCCCAUGUCCCCAAAGCACUACCAUAUCAUUCCUUACCUACUCAUCCAUCCAAAUAACCCCUAGAACCUGUCUCUAGUCCUUGUGCCGCAGCCAAGAGGAGGAGAGAAAGCUUGGGACGUUCAUGCCAUUCAAUUGAGGGUUGCUGGAACGUUUUAGGUGUUGUCUUUCCUUUGAUUUUCUAUGUUUAAUUUUGAUACUCUUUGUGUUGUGAGAAUGAGGAACUAAACCCCCCUUGGUUAGGGGGGAAUUCGAAACCAUGUACAUGCUUGCAAUAUGAUUUGAUUACAUUCAGUUGUUAUUUCAUAAGUUGUGGAUUCAAUUCGUUCAUCUAUUUGAUUGAUACUUAUUUGUGUAUGUUGAUUGAGAGUGCACGCUUAGUUUUCAUGCAUGAAUAUGAUGCUAGAUUAUGAGGGAGUUUCACCUAAUAGUUACAAUCUUAUAAUCACAAGUAGUGAAGGUCGCUUGAAAACGAUCACGUUGAAUGAAUUCUUGGCAUAAGUUUCAUGCAAUUCAUAGUAACGAAUGCUUCGUCAAUGCUUAUAUUUUUCAUAGAACUUAAUGAUUCUUACUUGUAUCUCUAUUAUGCAAUUCAUGUAGGGAACUUGUAGGGAAUGUUUUGGGUUGUCGUAUGCAAUCAUCCAACUCAAUAACUUGUGGAAAAACUGAGGGUUAAUUAGUGCAAUUCACGGUUAAUUUGGAGCGUUGAGUAUUCAUAAUUUAUUGGAAGAACAACUGAAAAUCGUUUUGUUUUGCAAGUGUGACAUGUGUGGAGAAGAACCUCCUAACUAGCCUUUUAUCCAUCCUUUUCAUCCAAAAACGUUUUACAAUCUGUUUUGUUUUAAAGUUUCUGUUUUGUUUUCAAUUUUCGUCCAAAACAAAUCCCCUUUUAUUUUGAAGUCUUAGAUUAGUUAGAAUAUGUUUUGAUUUGUGUUUCUAAGUGUUUUGAUUCAAGUUUUCACCCAAAUUCGUCCAAGUUCUUGUUAGGUUCUCAAAACUGCCCAGAAAGUGGUUUUAGGCAGUUUUGAGUCAUUAGGUUGCUGUUUUGAGUUUUAGGUUUGUUUAAGUGUUUUAACCUUUAGUUUUGCAUUCUUUGAGUCUAGUCUAGUGGUUUAAACUUUGUUUUUAUGUUCUUAAGUCAGUUUCCAAGUGUUUAGCAAUCCCUCCUAAUCCCCGGUUUAGAACGAUCCCUACUUACAUCUUUACUACAAUUUGACAAAAAGAGGGUUUAAUUUGUGUGCUUAUCUAUUUCGCAUCAGUUUAGUUCCUCAUACUCGCAAAGCAAAGAUACAUAAAUUUAGACAUUAAAAUCCAAAGAAAGAAAACACCUAGAUGAUCCAACUGGACAGCAGGUGCAUCCACAAAGUCUUCCUUCCUCCUUGCUGCGGCACUUGGUCUAAGAGCAGGGUUUGGGUGGUAUUUGUAUGGGAGAAUGGGUAGGGAAUGGUAUGGAAGGGUUUAGGAUUGAUGGGGGGUGCGGCAAGGUGUUUAGGGUCAGAAAAUAUGGAGUAUGGUGAGUAAGGGUUGCGGCAGAGAAGGUAGAUGAGUUUCUGGCGUGAUUUAUGAAUAUGGGAGGUGGUGAAUUCGGCCAAAGGGGUUUAUGAGUAUAUAUAUAGGCACUUAAAACCCUAGGUAAAUCAAAUAUGGACUUGAAUAACCCAAAUCCACAAGGAGAAAGGCCUAGAAAUCAGAAUUAGAGAGGCUUCUAGGUGCAGCACAAAGAGUGUGAAAUGAUAAGGCUUCUAGAAACCAAAAUCCUAAAGGAAAUAGGGUAGAAAAUUCGGCACAAAGUGUGGUUUCUAGAAGGAUAAUGCAAGGCAGAUUUUUAGGCUUCUAGAAAGGUUCUUAGGUGUCAUCUUGGUAGGAUAAGAUAAGGUCUUCUAGAAAUCCCAUUUUAAGCAUCCUAGUCCAAUUAGAAACCCUCCUAAGUGGCUGGAAUGUGGAUAAGAUAGGAUAGGAUAAGGUUUGAUUGGAUAAGAUAACUAAGAUAAGGUUAUGGAUGAGGUUUUGGAUAAUACUCCUUAUCUUGAGCAGAUUCUUUGGUUUUAAUUCUUCUUCUUCAUGUAGGAAACCUUGCUUGAGUAGGAAACUUCAUAUAUCUAGGAAUCCAUCUUCAAUU